Molecule: non-coding RNA, 29 nt
Filed under: Mus musculus (house mouse)
Lineage: Eukaryota; Metazoa; Chordata; Mammalia; Rodentia; Muridae
Source: RNAcentral
UGCUAAAGUUUCCCUCCCUGCCAAAGAUG